Long non-coding RNA from Bubalus bubalis (water buffalo), 1297 nucleotides. RefSeq lists it as uncharacterized. The transcript is spliced from 3 exons. Lineage: Eukaryota; Metazoa; Chordata; Mammalia; Artiodactyla; Bovidae. The record is from RefSeq and is a predicted model, not a curated record.
AACCCAAAUCAUAAGGAAGUGCAGGGGCUGGGGUUCUGAGGAAAAUGCCAUGAUUAGUCUCCUCUGGGCCUUUUCAGGUUGCUGUAAUGGUUUUGGACCUCAAAUACCAGCGACUGUCUUUCCUGAAGCAGCACAAUUACAGGUCAUUAGGGAGGCUCGGGCUGUGACCAUCCCUGGGCACAAGACCUGCAACCAAAUGCAAAGCGAUGGUGACAGAGCUGAACAUGAUGUGAAAGUGAAGGCAGAGGUUGGAGUAAGGUUUCCACAAGCCAGGGAGCACCAGGGCCCACCAGGAGCUGGACAAGGCAAGGAAGGAUUCUCCCCAAGAGCCUUUGGAGAGACGGUGGCCGUGCUGACACCUUGACUUUGAUCUUCAGGCCUUCAAAGCCACAAGAGAAUAAAUAUUGUGGUUCUGAGCCACAGAGCUACAGGCAGCACCAACGCGCGUGGAACUAACGUGAGAGAUGAAACCUCUGUUCCUGUUCACCAGACACAGCCUCCUCCAGCAGAUCUAUACCUUUUUUUGCUUGCUUUCAUCUCUGUUGUUUCUAAACUUCUUCUCUAAGAGAAGAGAAGAACAACAUUUAAGAGAGAGGGCACCCCAUUGCUCUUAAAUUUUUGUCAUUGUUCUUCCUGUCCAGGCCUUGUGGACCUUGACUCUCCUUCCUUCCUGCCUUCAUCUUUGCCCACUCCUCCAGCUCCAGGCAGGACCAUCUUAGGAUCCUCUGUUGCAGCCAUAAGACCUCAAAAACCCACUCCCACCCAGACGAACCCAGUCCAGCCAAGGAUUUGGGUCUCCUCCUUCUGGGAUGGAAACCAGAUCAACAAGGUAGUCAUGUGAGAAGAUGGCCUUGACCCAGCUUUGUUCAGGAGACUGACUACCCAGCCUUGUGAGGAAGUUCCAGGGCUCCCAGGAUGCCAACCACUCUGAUGGAGAGUGGUGGUCCUUCAGUUGAGCACAGGCACACCCACACAGCCUCCUGAUUGCCUGAUCCUUAUCUAACCUAGCCAGGAGAAGGAGGUGGGCAUCAUAUCAGACUCUGUGGCCCUUUGACAGCUGCUGAGAAUCUUAUUUUUCUAAACAUCUACACAGUAGACUGUCUCUACAUCUCAGUCUACUCACCUGACCAAUGGGGCUGCACCACCCCUGACCUCUGCUGUCUGGAAGCCUGAGAGGGCCAGUGACGGGACAAAUGACUAGAAAGGACACAGUAAAACCAAGGGACUGGGCUUCCCUGGUGGCUCAGUGGUAAAGAAUCUGCCUGCCAAUGCAGGAGACACAGGUUCGAUCCCUGAU